GCGAUGUGAUGAUAGAAACUCGUAAUUCACUGAUCUAAUAAUUUGAUGUUACAUUGAAGUUCCGACAGGUUCUGAUCGC
Small nucleolar RNA from Gossypium arboreum, 79 nucleotides. It matches the Rfam family "Small nucleolar RNA snoR14". Lineage: Eukaryota; Viridiplantae; Streptophyta; Magnoliopsida; Malvales; Malvaceae. The record is from Rfam.